RNAcentral lists this ribosomal RNA (492 nucleotides) under uncultured bacterium. RNAcentral's name for it is "partial 16S ribosomal RNA". It matches the Rfam family "Bacterial small subunit ribosomal RNA", at positions 29 to 507 of the family's 1533-position model. The record is from RNAcentral.
AGUGAACGCUGGCGGUAGGCCUAAUACAUGCAAGUCGAACGGCAGCACAGUAAGAGUUUGCUCUUACGGGUGGCGAGUGGCGGAUGGGUGAGGUAUACAUAGGCAUCUUCUUUUUCGUGGGGGACAUCGUAGGGCAACUUCCGAUACUACAGAAUAUGUCCUACGGGUGAGAGCAGGGGAUCUUGGGACUUUGCGUGUUUGAUUGAGCCGAUGUCGGAUUAGCUAGUUGGCGGGGUAAGGGCCCGCCAAGGCGAGGAACCGUAGCUGGUCUGAGCGGAUGAUCAGCCACACUGGAACUUAGACACGGGCCAGACUCCUACGGGAAGCAGCAGUUGGGAAUAUUUGACAAAGGGCGCAAGGCUGAUCCAACCAAACCGCGGGGAGUAAGAAGGCCUUCGGGUUGGAAAACCCUUGUGUUGGGAAAGAAAAGCAGCAGGAUAAUACCCCGCUGUUCUGACGGUACCCAAAGAAUAAGCACCGGCUAACUUCGUG